UUAACCGGAUGGCUAUAUGAGUAAGCAAUUUACCUUGAGAAAAACACUGUGUUCCAGGCAGGUUUGUCCGGAAUGCAUUAGCAUGGAAUAAUAGAAUAUGACUGAAGUCGAUUUAUUGGUUUGAGGCUUUAGUAAUGAUUAAUAGGAACAGUCGGGGGCAUUGGUACUUGACAGUCAGAGGUGAAAUUCUAGGAUUUGUCAAAGACUAACAAAUGCGAAAGCAUUUGCCAAGGAUGUUUUCAUUAAUCAAGAACGAAAGAUAGGGGAUCAAAGACGAACAGAUACCGUCCUAGUCUUAACUAUAAACUAUACCGACUCGGAUUCAGAUGAAUCAUAAAGUUCAUUUGGGACCGUAGGAGAAAUCAAAGUUUUUGGGUUCUGGGGGAAGUAUGGUCGCAAGGCUGAAACUUAAAGGAAUUGACGGUUUUGCACCACCAUGGAGUGGAGUCUGCGGCUUAAUUUGACUCAACACUGGGAAACUCAUCAGGGCAAG
Molecule: ribosomal RNA, 493 nt
Filed under: uncultured organism
Description: SSU rRNA
Rfam family: Eukaryotic small subunit ribosomal RNA
Source: RNAcentral